RNAcentral lists this ribosomal RNA (117 nucleotides) under Danio rerio (zebrafish). The record is from RNAcentral. Lineage: Eukaryota; Metazoa; Chordata; Actinopteri; Cypriniformes; Danionidae.
AGCCAUAGCCAUAUCACCCUGCAGCCCAAGACCAGUUGCUUACUGAAGCUAAGCAGGGCUGAGCCUGGUCGGUGUCUGGAUGGGAGAUAACAUGGGAAAACUAGGUUUUUGUUGGAA